Molecule: ribosomal RNA, 468 nt
Filed under: uncultured bacterium
Lineage: Bacteria
Description: partial 16S ribosomal RNA
Rfam family: Bacterial small subunit ribosomal RNA
Source: RNAcentral
GACGAACGCUGGCGGCGUGCUUAACACAUGCAAGUCGAACGGAAAGGCCCUGCUUUUGUGGGGUGCUCGAGUGGCGAACGGGUGAGUAACACGUGAGUAACCUGCCCUUGACUUUGGGAUAACUUCAGGAAACUGGGGCUAAUACCGGAUAGGAGCUCCUGCUGCAUGGAGGGGGUUGGAAAGUUUCGGCGGUUGGGGAUGGACUCGCGGCUUAUCAGCUUGUUGGUGGGGGAGUGGCUUACCAAGGCUGUGACGGGUAGCCGGCCUGGGAGGGUGACCGGCCACAUUGGUACUGAGAUACGGCCCAGAGUCGUACGUGAGGCAGCAGUGGGGAACAUGGCACAGUGGUCGGGAGCCUGAUGCAACAACGCCGCGUUCGGGAUGCCGUCCUUCGGGUUGUAAACCGCUUUCGCUUGAGACGACGCGUGAGUGACGGUAAUGGGUAAAGAAGCACCGGCUAACUACGUG